RNAcentral lists this ribosomal RNA (489 nucleotides) under uncultured bacterium. RNAcentral's name for it is "partial 16S ribosomal RNA". It matches the Rfam family "Bacterial small subunit ribosomal RNA", at positions 30 to 506 of the family's 1533-position model. The record is from RNAcentral.
AUUGAACGCUGGCGGCAGGCUUAACACAUGCAAGUCGAGCGGUAGCACAGGGGAGCUUGCUCCCUGGGUGACGAGCGGCGGACGGGUGAGUAAUGUCUGGGAAACUGCCUGAUGGAGGGGGAUAACUACUGGAAACGGUAGCUAAUACCGCAUAACGUCGCAAGACCAAAGAGGGGGACCUUCGGGCCUCUUGCCAUCAGAUGUGCCCAGAUGGGAUUAGCUAGUAGGUGGGGUAAUGGCUCACCUAGGCGACGAUCCCUAGCUGGUCUGAGAGGAUGACCAGCCACACUGGAACUGAGACACGGUCCAGACUCCUACGGGAGGCAGCAGUGGGGAAUAUUGCACAAGGGGCGCAAGCCUGAUGCAGCCAUGCCGCGUGUGUGAAGAAGGCCUUCGGGUUGUAAAGCACUUACAGCGAGGAGGAAGGUGGUGAGCUUAAUACGUUCAUCAAUUGACGUUACUCGCAGAAGAAGCACCGGCUAACUCCGU